CCAGUUCUAAACCUUCCAAAUUGCUAUAUCAGUUCUCACAAUUCCAACAAACUGUCCUCUAAAGUUCUUGCCAUGAUUCUUGUUCUUUCCGUAACUAUCUCCAUGGCUACUGCUAUAUUAACCUUAGUCGUUGUUAGACAUAAUACGAGAAAGAAGCAAAAUCGUGAUCUGGCAACAUGGAAGAUGACCACAUUCCAUAAAGUGGAUUUCACAGAAGCAAACAUUUUGGAAGGUUUGACAGAAAAUAAUCUAAUUGGAAGUGGAGGGUCAGGGAAGGUAUACCGCAUUGUUGUGAACCAUAUAGGAGAAUUUGUUGCAGUUAAGAGGAUUUCGAGCAAUAGAAAAUUUGAUGGGAAGCUCGAGAAAGAAUUUGCGGCUGAAGUUCAAAUCCUAGGCACAGUUAGACACUCAAAUAUAGUGAAGUUGUUGUGCUGCAUUUCAAGUGAGGAAUCGAAGCUUCUUGUUUACGAGUAUAUGGA
RNAcentral lists this unclassified non-coding RNA (479 nucleotides) under Hevea brasiliensis (rubber tree). Lineage: Eukaryota; Viridiplantae; Streptophyta; Magnoliopsida; Malpighiales; Euphorbiaceae. The record is from RNAcentral.